GUUUUGUUAGCUAAGAGGUUAAAGCGUUUAUUAUUCUAAAUAAAAGAACGUCGGUUCGAUUCCGACAUAAAACC
This 74-nucleotide transfer RNA is filed under the name Prevotella sp. CAG:1092. It matches the Rfam family "tRNA". Rfam says of the family: Transfer RNA (tRNA) molecules are approximately 80 nucleotides in length. Lineage: Bacteria; Pseudomonadati; Bacteroidota; Bacteroidia; Bacteroidales; Prevotellaceae. The record is from Rfam by way of RNAcentral.